Molecule: ribosomal RNA, 252 nt
Filed under: uncultured bacterium
Lineage: Bacteria
Description: partial 16S ribosomal RNA
Rfam family: Bacterial small subunit ribosomal RNA
Source: RNAcentral
UACGUAGGGCGCAAGCGUUAUCCGGAAUUAUUGGGCGUAAAGAGCUCGUAGGCGGUUUGUCGCGUCUGCCGUGAAAGUCCGGGGCUCAACUCCGGAUCUGCGGUGGGUACGGGCAGACUAGAGUGAUGUAGGGGAGACUGGAAUUCCUGGUGUAGCGGUGAAAAUGCGCAGAUAUCAGGAGGAACACCGGCGGCGAAGGCGGGACUCUGGGCCGAUACUGACGCUGAGGAGCGAAAGCUGGGGAGCAACAGG